AUGCACUGGUCAUUGCAAACACCCUCACCCAACAACACAAGAGAAGACUCUACACAUGGACAUCAACAGAUGGUCAACACCGAAAUCAGAUUGAUUAUAUUCUUUGCAGCCAAAGAUGGACAAGUUCUAUACAGUCAGCAAAAACAAGACCAGGAGCUGACUGUGGCUUCACUCUGCCAUAAGGGUGGGGUCAUCUGCAUAUCUGAGGUGAUUGAUAUUUCUCCCUGCAAUCUUGAUUCCAGCUUGUGCUUCUUCCAGCCCAGCAUUUCUCAUGAUGUACUCUGCAUAUAA
This 291-nucleotide long non-coding RNA is filed under the name Ovis aries (sheep). RNAcentral describes it as "lncRNA (ENSOARG00000027021.1)". Lineage: Eukaryota; Metazoa; Chordata; Mammalia; Artiodactyla; Bovidae. The record is from RNAcentral.